UCUCUUCUCUCAAUUUGAUUAGUUUGCUAUUCUAUUCUCUUCUCUCAUCGAUAGGUAGAGAUCCUCUCUAUUUAUAGAUGAUUCUCAUGACCUAAUAAAAGGAGGACUCUUUAUUCAAAUCUGAUUUGAAUACUCAUGAAAGGACUCCUACAUGAGAUAUAAUUAUCAUCACUUAUGACAUCCACUUUCCACCCACUCCCACACCCACUUGGGA
RNAcentral lists this long non-coding RNA (214 nucleotides) under Elaeis guineensis (African oil palm). Its description in RNAcentral is "long non-coding RNA (EGUI_LNC050026)". Lineage: Eukaryota; Viridiplantae; Streptophyta; Magnoliopsida; Arecales; Arecaceae. The record is from RNAcentral.